CUCAUUACAGUUUUUGAUAUUGAGCGUAUUUUCAUGUGCCUGUUGGCCAACUGCAUUUCCUCUUUUGAAAACUGUCUAUUCACGUCUUCUGCCCAUUUUUAAUCAGAUUCAUUUUUUUAUAUUAAGUUGUUUGAGCUGUUUAUGGAUGUUGGAUAUUAACCCCUUAUCAGUCAUAUCAUUUGUAAGUAUUUUCUUCCAUUCAGAUUCUUGUCUUUUUGUUUUGUCAGUGGUUUCCUUUGCUGUGCAGAAGCUUUUAAGUUUAAUUAAGCCCUGUUUAUUUAUUUUUGCUGUUAUUUCCUUUGUUUUAGGAGAUGGAUCCAAAUAAUAUUGCUACGAGACAUGGGUGCCCUGAAGGAGUGAGGGAUGUGACUCCCUUGGCAAGGAUCCUUCAGACGAAAGGGAGUAUGGUGGACUUUCUCCACGUGGAAGCAGGCUCAGAGAUGGACUGUGAAGCCUCCAAGAAGGAUCCCAGGUGUGAAGAAUGAAAUAGUGAGUGGCAAAGUGCUUUGGGAGCUGCGAAGAGUGGUGUCAACAUGAGGACAAGGACAGUCAUGGUGGUUCCACUUUACCCCCUUAGAGCUCAGCCUCCUCUGACAAGACAGAUGUGUUGGGUGCCUGAGUGUCCCCUGCCAUUCCAACUUUUGCUGGAUGAGGAGGUCUCUGCGGGCCCACUUAAUAAGCAAAGUGGUCAUUUAGUCCAUAUUUGCAAGAGGAUACGUUAAGAAACUUCUGAAGUGGUGUUGAUUUGGACGUACGGCUAGGGACAGAACUGAGAAAUGCCUGGACUUGGAGGUGAAGAGAGAUGAGGGGAGGGGUAACUGCUACUUGAUGACAGCCUCGGCACCCCUGAAGGAAGGCCCUUUGCUGUGAACUCUCCAGUCUCUCCUCCUCAACUGACAGCACAAAAACUGUCCACAAGGAGUGACUGCUAAAUGCACAGGUAUAGGACGGAAGUAUCUAUUUUAGGGGACUUAUCUUUGUAGUGGCUUUGUUGUAACUCCGAGAUGGUGGAAUUAGCUCAAAUAAAGGAUGCAGAAAGCCUGAGCUCCGGCCAAGUCUCAUCACUCACUAGCCUUGGGCAGCUGGAAACAUCAUUUCAGCACCCAUUUUCCACAUCUAUAAAGUGACUGCAAUGGCCAUGACAGUAUUACAAUAAAAAUUAUGUCUCCACUUAUUUGUCGUGUCACUCUGAGGGGUAAGUAUGAUUAUAACCUGAAGAUACU
This 1223-nucleotide long non-coding RNA is filed under the name Sus scrofa (pig). RNAcentral's name for it is "lncRNA (ENSSSCG00060023826.1)". Lineage: Eukaryota; Metazoa; Chordata; Mammalia; Artiodactyla; Suidae. The record is from RNAcentral.